UAUAACUUCGGCGAGGCUCGUUCUCUUCGUCUGGAAGGAGCGGUCGGCUGAGAGAAACGAAGUGCGAGCGCAGGGCGAUCUAUCGGCAUGAGCGCCAGCACCGCGAGCUACCUCGCCCGGAGGGCGGCGCAGAAGGAGCGCGUGAGGAUCCUCUACCGCCGAGCCCUCAGGGACACCCUCAACUGGGCCGUCCACCGCCACCUCUUCUACCAGGAUGCAUCUAGACCUAAGAGAAAAAUUUGAGGCCAACAAGCAUGUGGAGGAUCUAAACACCAUUGAUAGGCUUAUUGAUGAGGGAGAAGCAGCAUAUGAGAAGUGGCAGCACCCUGAUCCUUACAUUGUUCCCUGGGCUCCUGGUGGCUCCAAAUUUACACGAAAUCCACCACCACCUACUGGGAUUGAGAUUGUUUUAUGACUAUGGCAAAGAGGACCACUUGAAUUAGAAUCACAUCUUUGCAAACAAAGCUUAAAAAUUCUAGAAGUGCAGAGACAUCCAUCCAUUCCCGUUUCUCAUCUGUUUGGAAUCAAUAAUUGUCUCAUGAAUAAGUAAAACUAUACAUCACAUGUCGUAUAUUCGUGAUGUCGUGAAUAUUUGCAUGAAGAUUUGGGAACUCUCUCCAUUUACUAGGGCAACCAGUAUUGAAUCGCAUUUGCGCCUUAAUCA
Molecule: non-coding RNA, 664 nt
Organism: Phoenix dactylifera (date palm)
Lineage: Eukaryota; Viridiplantae; Streptophyta; Magnoliopsida; Arecales; Arecaceae
Source: RefSeq, a predicted model, not a curated record